Molecule: ribosomal RNA, 624 nt
Filed under: uncultured bacterium
Lineage: Bacteria
Description: bacterial SSU rRNA
Rfam family: Bacterial small subunit ribosomal RNA
Source: RNAcentral
GCAGUCGAGCGGUAACAUUUCUAGCUUGCUAGAAGAUGACGAGCGGCGGACGGGUGAGUAAUGCUUGGGAAUAUGCCUUAUGGUGGGGGACAACAGUUGGAAACGACUGCUAAUACCGCAUAACGUCUACGGACCAAAGGGGGGGAUCUUCGGACCUCCCGCCAUUUGAUUAGCCCAAGUGAGAUUAGCUAGUUGGUAAGGUAAUGGCUUACCAAGGCGACGAUCUCUAGCUGGUUUGAGAGGAUGAUCAGCCACACUGGGACUGAGACACGGCCCAGACUCCUACGGGAGGCAGCAGUGGGGAAUAUUGCACAAUGGGCGAAAGCCUGAUGCAGCCAUGCCGCGUGUGUGAAGAAGGCCUUCGGGUUGUAAAGCACUUUCAGUAAGGAGGAAAGGGUAGUCGUUAAUAGCGGCUGUCUGUGACGUUACUUACAGAAGAAGCACCGGCUAACUUCGUGCCAGCAGCCGCGGUAAUACGAGGGGUGCAAGCGUUAAUCGGAAUUACUGGGCGUAAAGCGUUCGUAGGCGGUUGAAUAAGCAAGAUGUGAAAGCCCAGGGCUCAACCUUGGAACUGCAUUUUGAACUGUUCAACUAGAGUACUGUAGAGGGUGGUGGAAUUUCCAG